GAUGAAGAACGUAGCGAAAUGCGAUAAGCAGUGUGAAUUGCAGAAUUCAGUGAAUCAUCGAAUCUUUGAACGCACAUUGCGCCCCUUGGUAUCCCGAGGGGCAUGCCUGUUCGAGCGUCAUUUCACCACUCAAGCCUGGCUUGGUGUUGGGCGACGUCCUCUUUGGGGACGCGCCUCGAAACGCUCGGCGGCGUGGCACCGGCUUUAAGCGUAGCAGAAUCUUUCGCUUUGGAAGUCGGGGCCCCGUCUGCCGGAAGACCUGCUCGCAAGGUUGACCUCGGAUCAGGCAGGGAUACCCGCUGAACUUAAGCAUAUCAAUAAGCGGAGGA
RNAcentral lists this unclassified non-coding RNA (329 nucleotides) under soil metagenome. RNAcentral's name for it is "partial contains 5.8S ribosomal RNA, internal transcribed spacer 2, and large subunit ribosomal RNA". The stretch from base 1 to 120 matches the Rfam family "5.8S ribosomal RNA", at positions 35 to 154 of the family's 154-position model. The record is from RNAcentral.